Long non-coding RNA from Mugil cephalus (flathead mullet), 459 nucleotides. RefSeq lists it as uncharacterized. The record is from RefSeq and is a predicted model, not a curated record. Lineage: Eukaryota; Metazoa; Chordata; Actinopteri; Mugiliformes; Mugilidae. The transcript is spliced from 3 exons.
ACAGAGGGAGUUAUUACUGUGAAGCCCAGAACAGAAGAGGACGUCAUAACUCCACCUUACACCUGGUUGGUGUCACAGGAAAAUUACCAGUAAAACUGAAUGUGAUCAGGUUAACUUUGAUGGUGCUGGUUCCUCUGCUUCUUUUGAUUCUGUGUAUGAGGAAGAAGAAACUCUUCAGCUGUGGGACUGAACCCAAUGAACCUGUGGAGGCUGUAGAGGUGAAAGAGAUCAGAGCAUGUGACCAGAACUGAUUAUUAACCAUGUGCUGAACUGUAGAUGUGAACCACAGAACAAAUCCAGGAAGUCAUUUUAUCAGUGUCAAAAUAUUUCUAUAAUAAGAUAAGAUAAGAUAAGAUGAGAUGUUCCUUUCUCCAUCCUGCAGUGGGGAACUUCUAGUUAACAGCAGCAGAGACAUUCAGCAUCACAGACAGUGCACAUAUGGGUGGACUAAAGGAUAAA